Molecule: ribosomal RNA, 253 nt
Filed under: uncultured bacterium
Lineage: Bacteria
Description: partial 16S ribosomal RNA
Rfam family: Bacterial small subunit ribosomal RNA
Source: RNAcentral
UACAGAGGUCCCAAGCGUUGUUCGGAUUCACUGGGCGUAAAGGGUGCGCAGGUGGGUUUGCAAGUUCGAUGUGAAAGCCCCGGGCUUAACCCGGGAAUGGCAUUGGAUACUGCAGAUCUGGAGGAUCGGAGGGGGGACUGGAAUUCCUGGUGUAGCGGUGAAAUGCGCAGAUAUCAGGAGGAACACCGGUGGCGAAGGCGGAUCUCUGGGCCAUAACUGACGCUGAGGAGCGAAAGCAUGGGGAGCGAACAGG